This 305-nucleotide long non-coding RNA is filed under the name Pan troglodytes (chimpanzee). RNAcentral's name for it is "long non-coding RNA NONPTRT013799". The record is from RNAcentral. Lineage: Eukaryota; Metazoa; Chordata; Mammalia; Primates; Hominidae.
CGGAGCGGACACGAGGGACCGUGAGAAAACGGAGGAGGAUAAGCCCCGAGAACGGCGGAAAGAGAAGCCAAAAGCAGAAAAACAGAGGAAGGAGAAGGCGAGAAGGGAAGGCUAGCCAGACACAAAUCCAGGAGCCAUUCCUUCUGCCUGGGAGGACGGAGUGAUGAAGACCAGAGGAAUCCCAGAGGAGAAGCCAUCUGAGAUCGGGAGGAGGAGAAAUGGAACAUCAGGCGGAGGAAACAGCCCAGACAAUCGCACUGGGACGUGAAAACCCUUGGGCUGCAUGCGGGGAGAAAACCAGAAUU